GACGAACGCUGGCGGCGUGCUUAACACAUGCAAGUCGAACGAAAAGACGGAAAGAGCUUGCUCUUUCCGGUAUUGAGUGGCAAACGGGUGAGUAACACGUAAACAACCUGCCUUCAGGAUGGGGCCAACAGACGGAAACGACUGCUCAUACCGAAUAAUUUCCACGGGCCGCAUGGUCCAUGGAAGAAAAGUUGGCCUCUCUCUGUAAGCUAUCGCCUGCAGAGUGGUUUGGGUCUGAUUUGCCGGGUUGCGGGGUAAAGGCCCACUAAAGCGACGAACAGUGACCCGACUGGGAGGAGGAACGGCCAAACUGGAACCGGGACACGGUCCAGAAUCCUAAGGGAGGGAGCAGGGGGGGAUCUUUCGGCAUGGGCGAAAGGCUGAAGGGGGAACGCCGGGGGGGGGAAGACGGCCUUCGGGUUGUAAAAAUCCGUGAUCCGGGACGAAAAGGCAGAGUGCGAAGAACAAACUGCAUUGACGGUACCGGAAAAGAAAGCCACGGCUAACUACGUG
This 513-nucleotide ribosomal RNA is filed under the name uncultured bacterium. Its description in RNAcentral is "partial 16S ribosomal RNA". It matches the Rfam family "Bacterial small subunit ribosomal RNA", at positions 28 to 507 of the family's 1533-position model. The record is from RNAcentral.